GCAUGGGUAGUUCAGUAGUAGAAUUCUUGCCUGCCAGGCAGGAGGCACGGGUUUGAUUCCCGGCCCAUGCA
RNAcentral lists this transfer RNA (71 nucleotides) under Ovis aries (sheep). It matches the Rfam family "tRNA". Rfam says of the family: Transfer RNA (tRNA) molecules are approximately 80 nucleotides in length. Their secondary structure includes four short double-helical elements and three loops (D, anti-codon, and T loops). The record is from Rfam by way of RNAcentral. Lineage: Eukaryota; Metazoa; Chordata; Mammalia; Artiodactyla; Bovidae.